UACGGGGGGAGCAAGCGUUGUUCGGAUUUACUGGGCGUAAAGGGCGCGUAGGCGGCCAGCACAGGUCAGUUGUGAAAUCUCCGAGCUUAACUCGGAAAGGUCAACUGAUACUGUGCGGCUAGAGUGCGGAAGGGGCAACUGGAAUUCUUGGUGUAGCGGUGAAAUGCGUAGAUAUCAAGAGGAACACCUGCGGCGAAGGCGGGUUGCUGGGCCGACACUGACGCUGAGGCGCGAAAGCGUGGGGAGCAAACAGG
Molecule: ribosomal RNA, 254 nt
Filed under: uncultured bacterium
Lineage: Bacteria
Description: partial 16S ribosomal RNA
Rfam family: Bacterial small subunit ribosomal RNA
Source: RNAcentral